UUAUCUGAUGCGGAGAUAAUGUCGGAGCUAUUGGUAGAGUAGGUAUGUGACCUCAGGAUUUAAUGAGAAUUUAAUACCAAGAUAAGUCGGUUUUUAAUUCAUCGAGCUCUUUCCUGCAAGAUCCUUUGCCGCAAUGGGGAUUAAGAAGGAGAUAAGGUAAGAAGGUUCUGGGGAUUUGGGGGGAAGCGCACGGUCUAGUGGGGACUCGUCAAUAGAAGUACUAGGAGGGGCAGGAGGGAGGGCAGUGAAAUGGUUUUGCUUGGGAUGUGCGACAUCGUGGAUAGUUUUCAGGAAUGAGAAGAUCUUAGAACGAUGUCUUUUUUAAAGCUCUUUAUGUUUACGGUAUGAGACUUCAGUUUUUACAGAAGAAACAAAAUGGAGCCAAGGUGGGGCGUACUUUCUAUUUUGUAUGUUUGAAGACGUCCUUAGUAUAUUAUGUAGCAUCUUUCCUGCUUAACGUUGGAGGCUCAUUAAAGAAAACGAAUGUUCGUAAACUUUUUUAUUUCUGUCUCUAGCUGCAAGAAUGAGUCCAGCAUCCAAGCAAGGUUGUUCUUUCUCCCUUGUUACUUAAUCCAGAUUCUGGCUGAAAAGAUUCAUCUCAAGGAAUUGUAUUCUUGAAGAUGUCGGAAAAAGAUUCCUGGGUCUUGGAAGAGAAUUACUAAAACUGCAGGGGAGGAAUAAAAUUGAAGGGUGUUUUUCUUAGAGAACACCAUGUGUGAGAUUUAUCAAGAGUUUGAAGAUUUAUAUAAGAUACGGGUCCUUUGCGCCAUUUCAACAUGUGAAUCUUUUCACACGGUAGUUAAACAGCACCUGACCCACAGCAACACAGCGGAACUUUCAAUUGUCACAAUAUUAACUGUGUAUUAUUGCAUAAACUUGGCUAUGGCUCUUUAUUCCAGAAUCAUUAUGCAAAGAAAAGGUGUGCAUCAAGAAUGGUAUCAGUUACAUCACUUCUUUCAAAGUCUUGGUCAUCGAACAUCUAUUAGUUACACAGAUAGCAAAGCAUGUAACUGUUGCCUCCUUGUCUCCCAGUGAUAAGCCCAUGGAACAUUUUACAAAAAUGGAUAAUCAGAAGAGGGAAUUGGUCAAUAAAUAUGACUGAACUACAAAGAAAUGAAAAAUG
RNAcentral lists this long non-coding RNA (1123 nucleotides) under Bos mutus (wild yak). Its description in RNAcentral is "lncRNA (ENSBMUG00000021070.1)". The record is from RNAcentral. Lineage: Eukaryota; Metazoa; Chordata; Mammalia; Artiodactyla; Bovidae.